UACGUAGGGACCAAGCGUUGUUCGGAUUUACUGGGCGUAAAGCGCGUGUAGGCGGUCCGGUAAGUCCGCUGUGAAAGUCGGGGGCUCAACCCUCGAAUGCCGGUGGAUACUGUCGGGCUAGAGUGCGGAAGAGGCGAGUGGAAUUCCUGGUGUAGCGGUGAAAUGCGCAGAUAUCAGGAGGAACACCAAUUGCGAAGGCAGCUCGCUGGGACGUUACUGACGCUGAGACGCGAAAGCGUGGGGAGCAAACAGG
RNAcentral lists this ribosomal RNA (253 nucleotides) under uncultured bacterium. RNAcentral's name for it is "partial 16S ribosomal RNA". It matches the Rfam family "Bacterial small subunit ribosomal RNA", at positions 524 to 776 of the family's 1533-position model. The record is from RNAcentral.